This 21-nucleotide small RNA is filed under the name Arabidopsis thaliana (thale cress). RNAcentral describes it as "ATSL015740". The record is from RNAcentral. Lineage: Eukaryota; Viridiplantae; Streptophyta; Magnoliopsida; Brassicales; Brassicaceae.
AUAUAUAUAUUACAAGAAAAC